UAGAGUGUUGGUUUGUUAUUGGCUGUUGUUUACUUUCUUUUCAGUUGGCGAUUCACCUUUUACCUUCUUGCUUUCACUGCUGGCAUGACGGUUGUAGUUGACAAACCCUGGUUUUAUGAUCUGCGAGAAACUUGGAAAGGAUUUCCAAUUCAGACGAUGUUACCGUCGCAGUACUGGUACUAUAUGAUCGAGCUGGGCUUCUACUGGUCCCUCCUGUUCAGCGUGGCCUUCGACGUUAAGAGAAAGGUAAGGAUUUUUUCCCACGUCU
Chiloscyllium plagiosum (whitespotted bambooshark) is the source of this 268-nucleotide non-coding RNA. The record is from RefSeq and is a predicted model, not a curated record. Lineage: Eukaryota; Metazoa; Chordata; Chondrichthyes; Orectolobiformes; Hemiscylliidae.